AAUGAACGUUGGCGGCGUGGAUUAGGCAUGCAAGUCGAGCGAGGAAACGUGUAGCAAUACGUGUUAUUCGAGCGGCGUAAGGGGCAGUAAUACCUGGGAACGUACCCUCUGGUCGGGGAUAGCUGCUGGAAACGGCGAGUAAUACCCGAUGAUCUUGAGAAAGCAAAGGCUUGCCGCCGGAGGAGCGGCCCAGGCGAUAUUAGCUAGUUGGUGAGGUAACGGCUUACCAAGGCUUAGAUGUCUAGCGGGUGUGAGAGCACGACCCGCGCCACUGGCACUGAGACACUGGCCAGACACCUACGGGUGGCUGCAGUCGAGAAUCUUCGGCAAUGAGCGCAAGCUUGACCGAGCGACGCCGCGUGCGGGAUGAAGGCCUUCGGGUUGUAAACCGCUUUGGUCCGAGAGAGAGGGCAACUUGAUCGAUCGGAGAAACAAGGACGGGCUAAGUUCGUGC
This 454-nucleotide ribosomal RNA is filed under the name uncultured bacterium. RNAcentral describes it as "bacterial SSU rRNA". It matches the Rfam family "Bacterial small subunit ribosomal RNA", at positions 29 to 508 of the family's 1533-position model. The record is from RNAcentral.